AGAGUUGUAUCCUGGCUCAGAACGAACGCUGGCGGCAGGCCUAACACAUGCAAGUCGAGCGCGCCUUCGGGUGAGCGGCGGACGGGUUAGUAACGCGUGGGAACGUGCCCUUCUCUACGGAAUAGCCUCUGGAAACGGAGAGUAAUACCGUAUACGCCCUUUGGGGGAAAGAUUUAUCGGAGAAGGAUCGGCCCGCGUUAGAUUAGGUAGUUGGUGGGGUAACGGCCUACCAAGCCUACGAUCUAUAGCUGGUUUUAGAGGAUGAUCAGCAACACUGGGACUGAGACACGGCCCAGACUCCUACGGGAGGCAGCAGUGGGGAAUCUUAGACAAUGGGGGCAACCCUGAUCUAGCCAUGCCGCGUGAGUGAUGAAGGCCUUAGGGUCGUAAAGCUCUUUCGCCUGUGAUGAUAAUGACAGUAGCAGGUAAAGAAACCCCGGCUAACUCCGUGCCAGCAGCCGCGGUAAUACGGAGGGGGUUAGCGUUGUUCGGAAUUACUGGGCGUAAAGCGCGCGUAGGCGGAUUAGAAAGUUGGGGGUGAAAUCCCGGGGCUCAACCCCGGAACUGCCUCCAAAACUGCUAGUCUAGAGUUCGAGAGAGGUGAGUGGAAUUCCGAGUGUAGAGGUGAAAUUCGUAGAUAUUCGGAGGAACACCAGUGGCGAAGGCGGCUCACUGGCUCGAUACUGACGCUGAGGUGC
Molecule: ribosomal RNA, 698 nt
Filed under: uncultured Alphaproteobacteria bacterium
Lineage: Bacteria; Pseudomonadati; Pseudomonadota; Alphaproteobacteria
Description: bacterial SSU rRNA
Rfam family: Bacterial small subunit ribosomal RNA
Source: RNAcentral